AUGUUUGUUGUACUGAUCAAACACCUGUUCAAGGACAAUCAGCAUAUCCCUCUGGUUCUCCAUCAAAAGCCGUCUGCAUUUCUCCAUAUCAGAGACUGUCUGCUGAUGUUCCUGUACAACUUCAUGAGAGGUUUCAAGGUGAGAGUAUCACUAGGUCCACAGUUAUAGAGGAACCUGGAGACCAUGGAGAAGCACACUUAGUAGCUCUGGGUGAACUAGAAUUCCGUAAACAAUUUCUAAUAUUAAGUUAUGCUGGAGGAGUUUUGAUUGGGAUUCUGGAAGCACACAGUGUCUUGGGUUGUUAUGUCAAUGUGGAUGGGAGUUACAGAUUCAAGAUGAGGAGACAAAUGGUUACUCGGCACAAUAUUUGUCAACUGGUUUUACUGAUAUGGGGAACACAGCUGAUGAAGGUAUUUACAGACAUUUCAUCUAUUUGCUUUUAUUCAUGGUGAGUGGUGAGUGCAUCUAUUUGUACUCCUCGAAUUGAUGGAAAGGAGUUCUUUCGUCAAGCCAGUGUUAUGAACCUCUUCGGUGUUCACAAGUAUAAGAAGAUGGGAGAAGACGUUCUUUGUAAUUCUGGUCUACCAUUUACAAUAAUCAGGGCUGGUAGAUUGACAGAUGGACCUUACACAUCAUAUGAUCUUAAUACAUUGCUCAAAGCUACAGCUGGCCAACGAUGUGCAGUCCUAAUAGGUCAAGGAAUAUUUUAUGGUCUAUGAAGGACGUAUGAGUUCAAGGGAGCUUGGGGAUUUGUCAAAACAAUGAGUCCUAUCAAGUAUCGGCUGCUGCAACAUCCAAGGUUUAUGAGUUAGCAAUUGAAUAUGGCUCAUCAAGGCAAAGAAGAUUUUCAAUCACCUCAAUAGCUCAGAGUAUGUAGGUCAUGAUACUUAGCCUACCGGGCGUUAGUAUUAUGUAUUUCAAUUUUUGAAUGUUUUUGUA
Molecule: long non-coding RNA, 939 nt
Organism: Rosa chinensis
Lineage: Eukaryota; Viridiplantae; Streptophyta; Magnoliopsida; Rosales; Rosaceae
Exons: 7
Source: RefSeq, a predicted model, not a curated record